UUUAUUAUUACAAUUGUAUAGCAUUGUGACGAAGUAGAAGAAAAGCAUUUAUUUAAAUUACUUUUGUCCUAUGUGUCAUUUUUUUUUUUCUUUUUUUUAAAAAAAAAUCAUUUUUGUUAAAAAUUGUAAUAUAUUUUAACACAUUUCUAAUUAUCUAAACAGUUGUAGAUUCAUUAAUUUGUAUGAAAUUCAAAAGAAAAUAUUUUGUAUUUUUAAAAUAUUAUAUAUAUGUAUUAAUAUAUAUAUUUAUAUACACACACACUAAAUAAAUAAAUAAAUAAAUAAAAGGAACUAAUUUCAUAUUUUAACUCCUUACCAAACAAUAUUAUAAACAAUGGAAAACAGAGGAUGUAAUAUGAUUUUUAGUGACUGUUGCCAAGAAGAAAAAAAUGAAUCAGUAUAUCAGUAUGAGGAUAUGGGAGAACAUGUACCUAACGAAACUUAUUACGAUGGGGAAAAUAACUAUGCAUAUGAACAUAUAGAAAGACCAGUAUUACAUGUUCAAGGAGAUCAACCAGUGUUUAAUAUACCUGUAUACCAAGAUAAAUAUAUUCGAGAUAAAAUAAUUGAAACGCAGACGUAUGAAGUUCAAGAUAUAGUACAACCCAAAUGUUACUUGCAAGAAACGAAGCAUGAUAUACCAACUGUUGAAUUAUUUUAUAAAGAGAAAAAUGUAGCGAUUCCCCAAGAACAAGUAGUAGAAAAAAUAGUUGAAGUUGAUACGCCUAUUGGAUAUUCACCAGUAUAUUCUCCAGUUUGGGAUGUAAGAGAAAUUCCAAGAGUAGUACCAAAAUAUGAAGGUGAACAGAAAAUUAUUCAAGUAGAAGUACCACAAAUAAAAUAUAUCGAUAAAUAUGUUGAAAAAGAAAUAGUAGUUGAUGUAAAAGAAAAGAUUGUUCCUAAAAUUACUGAAAUAGAAAAAGAAGUUGAUAUAGUAAAAUAUGAAUGGAAAGAAAAAUAUCAAGAUGUACCUGUAUGUAAAUAUGUACCAAAAAUUGACGUUGAAUUAGAUUGUCCACCUCCACUUAUAGUUCCAUAUCCAGAAGUUCAUUUUCAAAAUAUUUCUGAAGUUAUGAAUCCAAAUCAAAGACUUGUAGAUAUUUCUAAUGAGACAUUAUUAAAAAAUACAGUUAUAAAUAAUCCCACUUUAAAUAAACAUGUUGAUAAAUCUGUAAAACAAAAUUUAAUCAACAUAGCAAAAUUGACAAACAAAAAAAAAAAUGAACAAAAUCUAAGAAAAAAAAAAAAAAAAAAAAAGGAAUAA
This 1264-nucleotide long non-coding RNA is filed under the name Piliocolobus tephrosceles (Ugandan red Colobus). RNAcentral describes it as "lncRNA (ENSPTEG00000003505.1)". Lineage: Eukaryota; Metazoa; Chordata; Mammalia; Primates; Cercopithecidae. The record is from RNAcentral.